Cinara cedri is the source of this 244-nucleotide non-coding RNA. The record is from the annotation of a GenBank genome assembly. NCBI's taxonomy places the organism in Eukaryota, Metazoa, Arthropoda, Insecta, Hemiptera, Aphididae.
UAGUAUAUAACUUAAUAAAGGUCAAAAUAAGACUGAUGUAUGGUCGGGUCGUGUCACGAUGGCGUACACGGCCGAGAUUAGUAAAUACAAUUGAGCAGGUGAUUUAGCGAAACGGCCUGGAACAAGGUGAAGAGUCGAGGAAAAUUGUGUUGAAAAGACGACGUCGGGAACCGGAAACUCAAAGCACUGCAGGAAUCUGCAGAUAACUACGGGAAUAUGUUUCGUGUUGGUUGUCUGAACGACC